UGCAGAAUUCGCCUUAGAGUUUGAUCCUGGCUCAGGAUGAACGCUGGCGGUAUGCUUUACACAUGCAAGUCGUACGAGAGUUUUUAACUCAAGUGGCGGACGGGUGAGUAACACGUAAGAAUUUGCCUUUAGGAGGGGGAUAACAACUGGAAACGGUUGCUAAUACCCCAUAUGCUUUCGAGUAAAAUGGAUUUUCCGCCUAAAGAGAAGCUUGCGGCUGAUUAGCUUGUUGGUGAGGUAAUGGCUCACCAAGGCGACGAUCAGUAUCUGGUUUGAGAGGACGAUCAGACACACUGGAACUGAGACACGGUCCAGACUCCUACGGGAGGCAGCAGUGGGGAAUUUUCCGCAAUGGGCGAAAGCCUGACGGAGCAAUACCGCGUGAGGGAUGACGGCCUAUGGGUUGUAAACCUCUUUUUUCAGGGAGGAAUCAAUGACGUGUACCUGAAGAAUAAGCAUCGGCUAACUCCGUGCCAGCAGCCGCGGUAAGACGGAGGAUGCAAGUGUUAUCCGGAAUCACUGGGCGUAAAGCGUCUGUAGGUGGUCAAAUAAGUCAACUGUUAAAUCUUGAGGCUCAACCUCAAAAUCGCAGUCGAAACUAUUCGACUAGAGUAUAGUAGGGGUAAAGGGAAUUUCCAGUGGAGCGGUGAAAUGCGUAGAGAUUGGAAAGAACACCGAUGGCGAAGGCACUUUACUGGGCUAUUACUAACACUGAGAGACGAAAGCUAGGGUAGCAAAUGGGAUUAGAUACCCCAGUAGUCCUAGCCGUAAACAAUGGAUACUAGAUGUUGAACAGAUCGACCUGUGCAGUAUCAAAGCUAACGCGUUAAGUAUCCCGCCUGGGAAGUAUGCUCGCAGGAGUGAAACUCAAAUGAAUUGACGGGGAAGGGC
Molecule: ribosomal RNA, 891 nt
Filed under: uncultured bacterium
Lineage: Bacteria
Description: bacterial SSU rRNA
Rfam family: Bacterial small subunit ribosomal RNA
Source: RNAcentral